GACGAACGCUGGCGGCGUGCUUAACACAUGCAAGUCGAACGGAAAGGCCCUGCUUUUGUGGGGUUCUCGAGUGGCGAACGGGUGAGUAACACGUGAGUAACCUGCCCUUCACUUUGGGAUAACUUCAGGAAACUGGGGCUAAUACCAGAUAGGAGCUCCUGCUGCAUGGUGGGCGUGGGAAAGUUUCGGCUGUUGUGGAUGGACUCGCGGCUUAUCAGCUUGUUUGUGGGGUAGUGGCUUACCAAGGCUUUGACGGGUAGCCGGCCUGAGAGGGUGACCGGCCACAUUGGGACUGAGGUACGGCACAGACUCCUACGGGAGGCAGCAGUGGGGAAUAUUGCACAAUGGGCGGAAGUCUGAUGAAGAAACGCCGCGUGCGGAAUGACGGCCUUCGGGUUGUAAACAGCAUUCGCCUGAGACGAAGCGUGAGUGACGGUAAUGGGUAAAGAAGCACCGGCUAACUACGUG
Molecule: ribosomal RNA, 468 nt
Filed under: uncultured bacterium
Lineage: Bacteria
Description: partial 16S ribosomal RNA
Rfam family: Bacterial small subunit ribosomal RNA
Source: RNAcentral